UUCUUUGGGCCUCAUAAACAACCACAGAACCACAAGUUGGGUAGCCUGGCAGUGUCAGAAGUCUGAGCCCAGCAUAGUGGUCAGCAGGCAGGACCAAUCACACUGGCUGCAAACCACAGGGUUUCAUAGAACAUCAUCAAGCCACGGCCAAGACGCCGCUCUUUUUUUUUUUUUAAAUCUUUAACAAUUUGAAUAUUUGUCUUCGUGAAGGUAGAAGAAAUCAUUGAAUCCCCCGCCUUCAGAAGAGGGUGCCUUUUCAGGAGGAAGCGAUGGCUUCAGACAGCAUAUUUGAGUCAUUUCCUUCAUACUCACAGUGCUUCAUGAGAGGUGAGUACACUCUGGGCUUUUAAAUCUACUUUUGCUCAGCUUUGCAGAUACUGAAGUGGCAGCCUGUUGGAACUCGGGGCAGAGAGCCCCUGUCUGUUUUGUGGGAGGAAUUCAAACUCGGGCAUAUGAUUACAAGGCUAUUGGAUUACUUAUUCAUCAGAUGGCUGCUUUUCAGAAAUGUUUUAAGAAAUACCGUGUUAAGCUGUUGACGUGUUCCGUCGGUGCGUGAGCGCUUUGUCAAGUUCAAGUGAAUUAGGCUGCUCCCGAUGAAAAGCCUAGAGAUUAUAAAGCCUGCAGGAAGCUCUCUGUGUUUUCUUUGGUUGCCCCUGGCCUGAGAGGACGGUGGCUGAGUUGUCCUGAGUUCGGCGUGCUGUGUGGCCCACACCCCAGCCUGGCCAGAGCUUUAGCGGGGCACAUGCACAGCUGGCCAAGGAGGGCUGGUGCCAGGGUGGUGCGGAGGCGGAGGUAGGCUUCCAGCCCGGGGAAGGAACAGCGGGGACAAAGUUGCAAGUCAGUUGUCUCCAAAAGGCAGAGAGUACAGUAGCCGGACAGGCUGGUCUAGGUUGAAAGCCCCAAGACGGGGCUGUGCUGGGUUACUCCUUGCAACCUCAGUGCAAUGAAGCAGCCGGCAUCUUUCAAGAGAGAAAGCAGAUAAAGCGUACAGAGAUCUCUCUCUCCAAGUGCAAUGAAGGAUUUUCCAAAGUCAAGUGUUUGUGGCUGCCGAAGUCACUAGAUUGCAUGCUUCCUAAAAGAAGUACCUGUCUGCAUUUCUGCAACUGGUCUCUUGAAAUGUGCAAAGCUAUAGUUGAGCUCUAAGUGUGUGAGUACGUGUGGGUGCAUGUGUGUUUUGUGCAUCUUUGGUGGAGAAACAGGGCCGUGCUUAACCAAAUGAAAAUAAUAACAUAGAAAUGUCCCCAAAGCAUUGCAGUGUGUCGAGGCAAGCACUUUGACCGGUGCCUGCAGAGUGUGGCUUGAUGGUUUGGCAGAGUUGAGACAGAGUGGGAUGGAUGGGAUGGGGGGAUAAUUAAUUUUCUGGCUACAAACUCAAGAGCACACCCCAAAUAGUAUCUGUGACUCAUUAUUUAUUCAUACAGCCAAGUGAGCAGAAGAAUGCAGAAGGCAGAGGGCUGCCAGCCACUUUGUCACAACAAACGCUAUUGUGGAUGCCACAGAGCCUCUAUGUUUCCGGGUUUCUUGAAAUUUAAACACUUGGCAAAGAUGUGUGUGUGUGUGUGUGUGUGUGUGUGUGUGUGUGUGUGUGUGUGUGUUGGGGGGUGGUGUUCAGGAGAAGGGGAAGAAAGCAAGUCAUUAACCGAUUCAAAGCUUCAAAUUAAAGGGUUUUCAAGUGCUUCUUUACUGGCAGCUGAGGACAUUUUAGUGAAGUUGAAUCAUGCGAUGCUUAUGAGUCACACAUCCUCAGGGCGCUGGGCUCCCCAGGCAGAAACGCCAGCCACUGGUGAGAAGCUGUGAACGGCUCUCUCUCUCGCUGCAUUUCCUCUGGGCCGCUAACAAGCAAAGGAAGCAAUAUUUGUAGAAUUACAGAAAAAAAAAAAAAGAUCUUCCUGCUUGACUCUUCUUUCAAUACCCACUCCAACUCAGGAAGGCAGAUUCAGGAAAUUUUUGAAACGUUCCACAGGAUGAUAGAUUGGAAUUCCACGUGGGUGCUGGCCUGCCUUCUGUGCUUCCAGAAUGGACAGAGAUAGCAAGGGGACCUAGUGACCCACGUAGACGCCGGGAGAGAAGCAGCCCGGCAGCUAAUCCAGCCCCUGCAGCCACUGCGUAACCUGGACUGUCACUCAUGCCCCCCCACCCCAGGUUAGGAAAUGGGGACAGUUAGCUUUCAAGGGGGGCCAUGUGGAGGGGACUUUAAGACCACCACCCCCCAACCAAUACUCAAAAGGCUCAUAGGAAAUGGGCCUUUCAUGCCUUCCUGUCAGUAAAAAGAGCUCAGGGCCUUUCCUAAUCUCUAACUCAAGAACAUAAUAUUGAGAUUUCAUUGCAGAGAAUAAAAGUGAAAACCUUGGCCAUUUCAUAGCUAACUUGACCAAGGUGAUUCAUCAGUCUGAGAGCUUAUACUAUCCGGGCUAACUGUCCACACCACUCCUCCGAGCUGGAAGGUGCCAAAAUGUCCCGGUUUAGGGGUCCCAUGUGGGCAUCGCCUUAGAGCAUGAUGCCAAAUGGUCUCCUCAAAGUUGGGACCUUUGUUUGCCCAGCCUGGCCAUCAGUGGGACUCAGAACUGUGGUCCUUUCUCACUGCCUGUCAUUUAUAGUGCGUGUCCCCUCCCCAACUGCAGCUCUGAGCGAGCAGGGGAGGAAAAAAAAAAAAAAAAAAAAAAAAAAACACAUCUUGUUGUGUUUUCUUCCUGGGAUGGUACUUUAUCAGUGCAUGCAAUUCUCACAGGAGGAAACCCAUAACUCAUUUUUCGCAAGAUACCCCUGUGGAAGUGGGGGGGGGGGAAGGAGGGGUGGGACCAAGCAAGCCAUUGUUCCCUUCUGUGUGACAGGCAAGCGAGAGUCUGAGAGCCUAGCAUGCAAAACAAAUGCGGUCUACCACAGAGAAGGCCGUUCUUUUUCUAUCCCACUGCACUGGGUCUCUCUGAAUGCGCUUAGGCAAGAAGAUAAGGCGUGGUUGUAAUUCCCUGCAAUGAACCCACGUGGCUCACAGCAUGGAGUCCUUCCAGAACCUGAACUUGGGUCCCCUGGCCCGGGUUUGACGUGUGGGCCCUCAGGGCUGCAGCACACAGGGGGAGGAAGGACUCGGGCAAGUAUGCAUUUUUGCAAAAUACCUCAGGUAGCCUUGCCCUUAGAAGUGGCUUAGUGGGCUAUGCAAAGCCUGAAUUCUAAUAUGCCUCCGAGUUCCUAGAACCACAGGUAAAAAAUCUCGGUGAGGCUGACUCGCCGCUGUGUUCUCGAGGCUUCUCUCUGAAGGAAUGGCAGCAGCCGAGGCUGACUGUGUGGGGCCUGCAUCUCUGUGAACCGCUGUUUGCCACUAUUUUUGGAGAAAUAUUUACAAAGACACUUCUGAUGCGGCAGGAGAUUUGAGAUCACAGAGAGCCGUCGACAUAACGCAGUAUCAGACACCGUGUGAAAUCUGUUAUUAUUUGGCUGGGGUUGCCCUCGCCAAGGACCACGGACUGAGUGGCUUAAACCACAGAAGUGUAGCGUCUCAUGAUUCUGGGGGCCAGAGAUCGAGUGGCGAGACCUGGCAUGGCUUUAUUUUUUGUGAAGGCUUUGAGGUAUCAGGAGGUUGGUGUCUUCUGAGGCCUCUCUCUCUCUUUUGCUUGUGGACGGCUGUCCUUACCCUGUAUCUUCACAUGGGCUUCCCUUUGUCCACGCACCCCCUCUGCCCUUCUAAGGACACCAGGCAUAUUGCAGUCAGGCCUGCCCUAAUGACCUCAUGUAAUCUUAAUUAUCUCUGUAGAGACCCAAUCUCCAAACGCAGUCACAUUUUGCUGGACUAGGAGUUAGGAAUAGAGGAAUCUGAGGGGGACCCUCAUAUUAACAUAAGAAUUUGAGGAGGACCCAGGUCAGUCCAGAAGAGUGUAUCCUGGCAACCCUGACUCCCUCUGACCUAAGAGAAAGCCAUACUUUUCCUAAGUGCCCUCCUGGAUGUGGAAAGAUCAAACCCCAGUUCCCUCGUGUCAGGUGGCGCUUUACAUUCUGAAACUGCCCACACAUUUUGAAACUGAAGGGGGGCGGGAAAAUGUGUUCAAAUCUAUCUAGACUCACAAUCCUCCCCUUUGCCAUUUAGCCUCUUUGCAUGCUAAGAAACCUUUGAAAAUGACAAGGCAAGUUUGAAAUGUUUCAGCUUUAAAAGAGCAAAGAGCAGUGCCCCAAAGAUGCCACCUCCUGGGCUCUGCUUCCUCCGAGGGACUGUCCCUGAGAUCCCAAACCUCCCAAGACACAGGCCUCCAGUGGCGGCAGUGGGGCAGGGGGAGGACAGGUCGUGGGAGGCCCCACACCUGUUCAUACUCUAAGGGAAGGCACAGUGAGCCUCUGGGAGUAGAAGCAACUUCAGAAGUGGCGGCUGAGCCAGGAUCUAACCUGCCAGAAGCCUGGGAGAGCUUUGGGCAAGCAAGUUUGCAGCCAGGAGAUUUCUCUCUUCUCUGGAAAUACCUGCCCCUUCACUGAGGAAGCAAGUGACAUUGGGGCCGAGGGAGGCCAUUGCACAGAGAAGGGCUUGGGGGAGGGUGUCAGUCUUGAGGACAGAGUCCAAGAAUUUGUAAGAACAGCCAGGACCAGAAAAGAGAAGGGGCGGGGGCUACACGGGGAGCACACACAGACUCAGUACAGUGAUGCUCUUUUUUCUCUCAGUCUGUUUUUCUGGCUUUAGCCAAAUAAUACAAAGCAGCUUCUCUCUUGAGCCUCAGUUUCCUCAUCUAUGAAACAAGGAUGGUAGUAGGACCUACAGUUAAAGUAGCUGCGUAGACUAAAUUAAAUAAUGCACGCAGUACAGUCAUAAAAAAUGGGCAGUUAAUGUCAGCCGUGGCUAUUGAUGUUCAAUUUUCUUUUAAAAAAAUUCUUUUAGGAGUUCCCAUCAUGGCGUAGCAGAACUGAAUCCAACUAGGAACCAUGAGGUUGCGGGUUAAAUCCCUGGCCUUGCUCAGUGGGUUAAGGAUCCGGCGUUGCCGUGAGCUGUGGUGUAGGUCGCAGACAUGGCUCAGAUCCUGCGUUACUGUGGCUCUGGCAUAGGCUGGAGGCUACAGCUCUGUUAGACUCCUAGCCUGGGAACCUCCACAUGCCGCGGGUGUGACACUAAAAAGACAAAAAGACAAAAAAAAAAAUUUUUUUUAAUUGAUUUACAAUGUUUUGUUACUUUCUGCUGUACAACAAAGUGAUCCAGUUUUACAUACAUACACAUUGUUUUUCUCACAGUAUCUUCCAUCAUGUUCCAUCACAAGUAAUUGGAUAUAGUUCCCUCAUGCAGGACCUCAUUGCUUAUCCACGCCAAAUGCAAUAGUUUGCAUCCACUAACCUCAAACUCCCUGUCCCUCCCCCUCGGCAACUACAAGUCUGUUGUCUUUGUCCAUGAGUUUGUUUCUGUUCUGUAGAUAGGUUCAUUUGUGCCAUAUUUUAGAUUUCACAUAUAAGUGAUAUAUAUUUUUUUUGUCUUUCUUUUUCUGACUUAUUUCACCUAAGUCAUGAGAAUCUCUAGUUCCAUCCAUGUUGCUGCAAAUGGCACUAUUUUGUUCUUUUUUAGGGCCGAGUAGUAUUCCAUUGCAUAUAGGUACCACAUGUUCAUUUUUCUAAGCUGAUGCUCCAUCAGGCUGUCUAUCCUCAGAAAGGAGAGGUGGCAACACGCUGGAGGACCCUGGAAGAGACUCGCUGGAGACAGAGACCCAGGCGUUGAGGAGGAGGGUGGUGUGGAGGGUGAGAACCAAGAGGAGAGGGAAGGGGCAGCCAGGUGGGGGUCGAGCCUGGGCAAAGUCAGGGUGGCAGGGCCCCAGUGGGAUGUGGGAGGUGAUGAGCCCCCUCUUCAACCUCAUGUCACCCUUGCUCUACUUGCAAGGACCCAUGAAGAGGACAGACAAGAGAGGGCCCUUUAUGUAACCCCACAAGCUUAGCUUGCAACAUCGAGGCCAAAACGGAGGCCUGCGGUAGCAGGAAUACUGACAAGUUUCUCCUCCCUGAGAGCCUGGUGUUGCUUGACUCUCCUAAAGCCCCUUCUUAAUGGAAAUGCCCUCCACCUGGUGGCCCUCCGCAGGCUCCUCGGCUCUGGGCAUUUCUGACCAAGCAUUUGUCACAGCAGUGAAGACACCUCAGUUGCUGGUUGGUCGUGUUGGGGGUGGGAGUAGAGGCUGCACAGGAAACUCAAGCAAAUUUUUCAGUUUCUCAGGUGACUUCCUAGUGACCUAGAUGAGUCAUUAGGUGUCUCUGCGUCUCCUUUGGGUUCUGCAAAAGGGGCCGGUAAUAUUCUAGAGCGCUUACCGCCAAAGGACAGAGUUCCUGCCUGACAUCUUUGAACGCGUCAGAGAGAGGGACCCUGAAACAAGUCACAAAUGGUCUCGGUUUGACAACAUGAAGCGACUAGGUUUUAAAAUUAUUUCCCUUCUGGUUAAAAUUGUUAACAUAGCUGUUUUUUGUUUUGAAAAUGAAUUAUUUUCUGGUAGGAAAUAGGGGUCCUACCCUUUCACACAUGGCAGGCAUUUUCCCAUAUUCUCUCAAAAGAAAACUUUUUUUUCCAACGCCCAUUCUUCAGAGAACUCUCCAGAAGCUGCUCUGGUACCUGAACCUAUCUUAAUAUCGGCAACACACUUUUUCUGAAAUGCUUGUUCCUGAAGUUCCCCUGUCCCUUCUCCUUGGGGCUGCCAAUCCCCUGCUUCAGCCUAUUUUCUGAGUAAAACAAACCUCAAGCAAUGUGUCUUUCUUGACCCUUCCCCACUCCCACGCCUCCAAAGUAUGCUGUCCCACCCAGGUAGAAAGGGGACAUUUCCUAUAAGACCUUUGCAGACUGUGAAUAAAGUCAGAAGGUGCUUUCAGGGAACAACAGUUGGUUCCUGAACUAUUUGGAGUUCCUGUCCUGGCUCAGUGGUAACGAACUGGCGUAGUAUCCGUGAGGAUGCAGGUUCAAUCCCUGGCCUCGCUCAGUGGGUUAAGGAUCCAGUAUUGCCGUGAGCUGUGGUGUAGGUCGCAGGAGCAACUGGAUCUGGCAUUGCAGUGGCUGUGGUGUAGGCUGGCAGCUACAGGUCCAAUUUGACCCCUAGCCUGGGAACCUCCAAAUGCCAUGGUUGAGGCCCUCAAAAGACAAGAUAAAUACAUAAAUAACUUUUGACACACUGGAAGAGUAAGCUGGACACCCCCCUGGAUGGCACAGACUUCCCUCUUCAUGCACAAACAUCCUUUUAACUUCCUGAAUCUUUCCCUUCCCCUCUGUUCUCCCGAUAACACUGAAUGAUGCCAGAGAAAGAAAGAAGGAACUCAGGUGGGAAAAUAAACCCUGCAUCCCAAAGGCGACUGAAAUGAUGCAUAUCCUUACAGCGACAUUAAGAGCAGAAAGCUCUGGGGAGUUCCCGUAGUGGCUCAGUGGUAAAGAACCCCCAACAGGUAUCCGUGGGGACACCAGAGUUCGCCACUGAGCAAGGCCUGUGCUCCAUCUUUGGCCUUGCUCAGUGGGUUAAGGAUCCAGCGUUGCCUUGAGCUGUGCUGUAGGCUGAAGACGUGGUUGAGAUCCAGCAAGGCUGUGGCUGUGGCGUAGGCCAGCAGCUGCAGUUCCAAUUGAGCCCUAGCCUGGGAACUUCCAUCUGCUGCUGGCCUGGCCUUAACAAGACGAAAAAAAAAUAAAUAAAUAAAAGGAGAAAGCUCUGGCCAGGCUUUACCGGUGAGAGCUGUGUUUGGCUGUACAGUACGGGAGAUCUAACUGCAGUGGCUCAAGCAGCCGGGCGUUGGGCCAGCGCUUGCGAGGGGUAGUUCUGGAGUGAGUGGGCCAGGACUCGUAUUAAGGGGCCGGGAGGCUCCUGUGUUCGGGUUCCACCCUGAGGCGGCCCACCCUUCAGGUCUGUCCAGGCAGGAAGCAGAUGGGAGGGGCCUCCAACCCUUCUCCUUGUGGGGCUCCAUCUUUCUAUUCAGGAAAGGAAGCCCCUUUCUGCAAACUCCCCCUUAUGGGUCUCGUGUGCCAGAACCAUUCUCACCUGGCUGGAAGGUGCACUGGACAGUGGACUUUUCCUUGUCAGCCUGCAGAGGGGAAGGUGGUUGGCAAUGAAUGGCCAUCCGGGGAGCCCAGAGCCGCAUCUGCCAUGGCAGACUGUCCCCAGGCAGAUACCCCGGUCUUUCCGGGGGACGCCUUGUCUCCUAUGUUCCCUGUGUCACCAGUGCUUUGAAAAUACAUGAGUUCUUCCUUUAGUCCUUCUUGGAAGUUGUAAGUGGAUUCUGGGUGUUGUGGGUGUGAUAAUUUUUCUUUUUCUUUCUUCGCUUUAUAAUGAAGGCCCCUUCAAGUAAAGUUCUCGUAAUUUUUUUAAUUGAAGUAUAGCUGAUUUACAAUGUUGGAUGUUAGUUCCAGGUGUACAACAGAUGUGUUUAUACUCUUUUUCAGUUUCUUUUUCAUUAUAGGGUAUUACAAGGGGUUGACUGUAUGUCCCUGUCCUGUACGGCAGGUCCUCGUUGUUGAUCUGUUUUAUAUCCAGUAGUAUGAAUCUGUUAACCCCAAGCUCCUACUUUACCCCUUCCCGUAUGCUUUAUUCUUUUUUCAUUUUUUAAAGUUUUACUGGCGUCUGGUUGAUUUACAAGGUGGUGAUCAUUGCUGCUGUACAGCAAAGAGAGUCAGUCAUACACGUACACACAUCCAUUCUUGUGCAGAAUCUCUUCCCCCGUAGGUGAUCACAGCAUCCUGGGUAGAGGUCUCUGUGCUAUACAGCAAGUCCCCAUUGGCCAGUCAUUCCAUACACCACCAUGUGCAUGUGCCAUGCCCUCCUCCCUCCCUCCCCCGACCUGUCCCCUUUGGUAACCGUAAGUUUGUUUGUUUCCAAAGUCUGCCUACCCUUUAUGCUUGAUUUUCUGAAAGCAAAACAGGGAGGAGAUGGGAUGGGGCAGGGCAGGGGGCUGGUUAAAGGGGAGUCGGGGUCACAUCUAUUUUCACGAUCAAAACUCAGAAGCACACUUACCUCUCAUAGUGUUAGAAAAGAAAAACAGCCAGCUUUGUAUGGAUGGGAGUGUUGCUUGUAUCAAAGCCACUGCACUUGGCCCUGGGGUUGAUGGAUCUCUUUGUAACUGGAAAUAGUUUCCUUUUUGCUCUUCCUCACUCCUUUGAAUUCUCAAAACCCCACGGCCCAACAGCCCUACAUCUUUUUCAAAAGAGAAUUCUUUUCUACAAAAUUUCUUGAGGGAAAUUUUCUUUCAAGUCACCCUCCUUAAAUUUACCUAAAGAUGUUUCUAUCUUUGAUGGAAAUACGACCACCAGAUAAUACUCCUCUAUCUAGGAGAGAGAGCACUUAUUCAUACCUUAUAGUCCUGCAAGUUACAGAUUACUUUUGCUUUGUAAUUACUGGCCCUAUCUGCUUCUUGAGUCUAGAUACAAAUCUACCUCCCUAGAAGCCAAUGCCUUAAAAAAAAAAAAAAAAAAAAAAAAAAAAAAGU
This 9396-nucleotide long non-coding RNA is filed under the name Sus scrofa (pig). RNAcentral's name for it is "lncRNA (ENSSSCG00025033535.1)". Lineage: Eukaryota; Metazoa; Chordata; Mammalia; Artiodactyla; Suidae. The record is from RNAcentral.